GGCCAAAAAUGGAAAAACACGGCUAGAUAAAAUGAACGCGGCUUCAUUAUUUAUAUAAGGCCGUGUAGGUUCAUAAAGUAAGGUGGUGCUACUUACAACAGACAGAAUUUCUUUCUAUUUACGUCGUAAGAAAGUUUGUAAAAUCUACUGUUCUUGUUGAAAUUGGCAAAAGUGAUCCGUGAUGUUUUAAUAUUUUGAUGGAAAAUGGAAACCGUAUAGUCUGUACGGUAUUAAAGUGGUUUUAAAUACCCCUAGGAUUUGCUGAAAUAACUUAAUAUUUUAAUGCCAGUGCGCAAUAUGAGCGUAUGCUUGCCUUGUAUUUAGUUGCAAAGCAUAGAACAACCACAGGAAUAUUGUCCCUUGUUGUAGAACCUUUAAUUUGGCUAUUCAAGGUAAUUGACAUGUGCACACCCUGGUCAUUUAGAAACACGCCCAAGAUCUAUAAUCCUAGCUAAUAUCCUGGAUGG
Paramuricea clavata is the source of this 467-nucleotide non-coding RNA. NCBI's taxonomy places the organism in Eukaryota, Metazoa, Cnidaria, Anthozoa, Malacalcyonacea, Plexauridae. The record is from the annotation of a GenBank genome assembly.